AAAUUUCGUGGCCUCGAAAGCAAAGCAAAUGCACAUAGCUGUCUGAAUACGCCUUCCACAACUCCCAACGGAGUUCUAUGAUGGAAUUAUCCUCCAAAAAUAGUAAAUAUGGUGGGAAGAUUGCUAAAGAUAGCCGCAUGCACAUCUGCUACUUUAAGGGAAUGCUAUGCCAGAAUAUGCGUAGAGCUUCCUCUUGAUCAACCUGUUGUACCAGAUAUACUUAUUGGAUCCCACAGACAACAAAUUCCACACGAAGGAGAAAAUUUUCUUUGCAAAUUUUGUGGUAGGUUGGUCAAUUCGUCAAUGUUCUUAUAUUAAUUUAGUCCCAAAAAAAUAAUUCUACCCAAGAGGAACCAAGAUCAUAAUGUUCAGAAGCUUAGGAAGAACAAUGACAAACCGUGUCUUUCUUGAAGCGAAGGAACUCCAAGUCAAAUUCCAAAGUAAAGGAAGCACUAUCAAGAUCAGAAGUAAACACGGCUAUUAAUGUCAAAAUCUUUGAUGCCAUGAUAGGUAAGUAUCUAACCACAUAUUUACUAAAAUACAAAAGACGUGAUUCUCUAACUUUGUUUGACAAGGACAAAAAUAAUGUGCAUCCAAUAUCUGAUGCUAGGAAAUCUUCAUCUCAAGAAAAUCUGGUUUUAAAAAAUCAUUUUUGGUCCUUAGAUAAUCAGCCCACGGUUUAGGAUAGUUCUACCAUUAAUAAAAAAAUUAAAAAUGAUUAUUGAUGGGUUUUCAAUGUCUUAGCUUUAUACCUCUUACAUUUUGAUGAUCUAACAAAUUUGUCGUGAAGAACGAGAUAGAGAACCUACCCCACAGGAUAUACAUUUCAUGUGAACUGGUCGAAGUUUGAAAAUCGGCAAAUGGAUGAACGACCACAGAGAGGAACACAACAGGGACCUAGUGACCUGGUUCCUUAGGGUUCUCCGACACAAGCAGGUAUGUGACUGUAUUCAAUCAAUAUAAAGAGGAACACAACAGGGACAUGCUCCUUGUGGGUUCUCUGAUAGAAGUACAAGUACACAUCUGGAUCGUAGCAGAAGAAAGUGACCAUCUAGAAACUAUCAUAGAAGAGGAACACAACUAGGACCAGGUCCGUUUGUGUGUCCUAACAGAAGUACAAAGUCCACUAUAUAGCUAGAACGCAACUGCCCAGAAGUGGCUAUACAGACAGUACAGCAGGCACUUCUCAUUGGGAAGAAGUGUACACCAGGAGUUGACAUCACUGUCCAUUGUGCUAUCUUUUGUGAUGAAACAACCAGGUGAAAGACACACCAUCUUUCGUGCAUCUAGUGAUAUUCUCUCAAGAAACAAAAGUAUUCAUCUGGCAGUGAAGUCACUGGUGUGUCAAGAACAAGAAUACAACUCCACUAAGGAUCAGUUUCUAAAUGAGUUUAUGUACAUCAGUAGUUGAGUUGUAAUCUUGUUAUUUGUUCGUCAUUGUAAUUCCUAGUUUUCUUUCUUAGAAGCGUUGUCUUAGGAACAAACCAAAUUCGUAAACUUCUGAGUUUAUGUUGUGACUAGGGAUACUCAUAAGUUUAAAUCCUUUGUAACUAGGAGAGUUAUUGUGGUGGUUACAUCACAAGUUAGUUUGAUGUCUUUGCAAUAAGGUUUUUACAAAGUGGCUUGUAAUAGGUAGAUUACAAGUUAGUAGAGUUAAAAGCCUACAAGAGUAGGUCGUGAUCUUUUUAUCCCCCUGUAUGGAAUUUUUUCACGUAGAAAACUCCCUUGCCUUCUUUACAUUCAGUCUUUACUGCAUUCUACGUAUCAUCUCAUACAGGACCAGGUACUCUAUAGUUUGGUCGACUCACAUAAAUUAACAAUCGGUAUCAUAGCAGGUUUCUCCUAUCAGGUUAACACCUAGGAAGAAUCCUCAAUGGUUUCUCCACCAAACUUUGAAGAAGGACAAUCAACCUAUAUACGUCCCAGAUCCAAUGGUCAAUACUAUGACUGGUGGAAAACCCAGAUGCAUGAUUUUAUAUAAGGUAGAAGAUUUAGAGAUGUGGGACAUUAUUUGUGAUGGUCCACAUGUUUCCAUGAAGAAACUUGAAGAAACGGGAGCAUUGGUGCCUAAAGAGAGAAGAGAGUACAACCACAUCAACAGAAAAGCUGUAGGAAAGAACUAUCGUGCCAAGAAAAUCUUGAUGUGUGGCAUAGGACCUGAUGAGUACAAUAGAGUAUCAGCUUGUGAUACUGCCCAAGAAAUAUGGGAAGCCUUACAAACUGCACCAGAAGGAACAACUCAAGUAAAACAAUCUAAGAUUGACAUGCUCACCACUGAAUACGAGCUUUUCAGGAUGAAGGAUGAUGAGUCCAUACAAGAUAUGCACAACAUACUCACUUCCAUCAUAAAUGAACUUCAUUCACUUGGAGACGUCAUUACCAGAAAUAAGCUCGUAAGGAAAAUCCUCAGCAUCCUACCUGGGUCUUGGGAAAGUAAGGUGAAUGCCAUCACGGAAGCUAAAGAUCUAAAAACUCUGACCACGUAUGAGCUGAUUGGUAAUUUGAAAACUAACGAGAUGAAAAGAAAGAAAGACAGUGAAAGAAGAGAGCCAUAUGGGAAGCCUUACAAAUAGCACACAAAGGAACUACUCAGGUCAAACACUCCAAGAUCGAGAUGCUUGAAUAUGAGCUAUUCAGGAUGAAGGAUGUCUUACAAAUAGCACACAAAGGAACUACUCAAGUCGAACACUCCAAGAUCGACAUGCUUGAAUAUGAGCUAUUCAGGAUGAAGGAUGAUGAGUCCAUACAAGAUAUGCACACCAGAUUCACCUUCAUCAUAAAGGAGCUUCACUCACUUGGAGAUGUCAUUUCCAGAAACAAGCUUGUAAGGAAAAUCCCUAGUGUUCUACCUGGGUCUUGGAAAGUAAGGUAAAUGCCAUCACUGAAGCUAAAUAUCUAUAGACUCUGACCAUGGAUAAGUUGAUUGGUAAUUUGAAUACAUACGAGAUGAAAAGAAAGAAAGACAUAGAAAUAAGAGAGUCUAAGAAGGAAAAGAACCGGUGCUUAACGCUGAAAGCAGUGAUUCAAGUGAUGAAGAUAGUGACAUGGCCUAUCUUGCUAAGAGAUUUCAAAAGAUGGUUCGAAGAAAUGGUGGUAUACCAAAGUGGCAGUUCAAGUAAAACAAGAAACAAUGAUCUCUGUCACGGAUGUGGAAAGUCAGGGCAUUUCAUCAAAGACUUCCCACUCGCAAAACUGGAGCAAUACAAGCAGAAUCCUGACAAAGCAGGAAAAAGGAACCUGGUUCCAGAUAAAAGAUUCAAUCGAAAAAGUGUUGCAGACAAUAUCGUUAAGCAUGUUUUUACUGCUUGGGGAAACUCCUCGAGUGAAUCCGAAAGGGAAUGAGAUGCAGAAAAUAGCUCCAUGAUGGCAAUAGAAACUGAAGCAAUGAAGUACGAUUCACUGUUCGUAAUGAUAGCUCGGUCAGAUGAUGAUUGAUGAAGAAGAUGAAGACGACAAGGCAAACUACAGGGAUGUUCAGAGAAAUCUGAAAUCUUAUUCUUCUAAGAAGUUAAAGUCUUUAUCUAAUGUACUAAUUGAUGCCUAUUAUAGCCUUGAAAAUGAUAAGAAAUCCUGACCAUAGAACUAGGAGAGGUCGAAUAAUCUAGAGAUGAGCUAGUGGUCUGUGUAGUAGACUUAAAUAAGACCAUAGCUAAUCUUGAACAAGAAAAGAAAGCCUUGAAUGAAAUAAUAAGUAGUGUGGAAAAUGAGAGAGACGAUCUAAUCUAAAAGAAAUAAUAGAAUGCCUUAACAAUGAGAAACACACCUUAGAAGAAAAAGUUGCAUCUACUGCAGAGGAAAGGGAUGAUAAUAUGCGCUGACUUAGAGGAAACCAUUGAGGAACUCAAUAGAGAGCAUAGGAAUGUAAGUCUUGGGAAAGGGAAGGAAGUAGCCAGUGAGGCGCACAUCAUGCUUGAAAAAGAGUUAACUAUUGUACAAACCAGUCCUUACAAUGAACUCGAAACAAAUCAGCAACUCCAAGCUGAGUUGGAGAAAGUAAGAAAUGAUCUUGAGAAAUUCCUGAAGUGGACCUGGCCCUCAGAUGUUGUCACUGCCAUGUAUCUCAACAAUAGUAUAAACAAGCAGGGCAUCGGGUUCCAAAGAAAGAGAACUCCCUACAACUCGCACAGCAAGUAUGUCACUAUACCUUAUAACUGGCAAUGUACCCACUGUGGGAACAGCGGGCAUUUUAAAAAGAAUUGCUAGGCCAGGAUUCAGUCUGCUUCGAAGAACAAAGUGUUUAGUGAUAUAGUGACUACUAACAAAGGACCAGGUACCACUCGCAAAAGGCGGAUGUUGCCUGAUGGACUAGGAAAUCCCUAAUUCAUCCUUUUUAUAAUAACAAGGGACUCAAACUAGUUUGGGUUCCUAAAUCUAACUCUUAAUGUGCAUGAGUAGGGAACAGCGAGAGGAAGCGGACUACGAUGGACUAUGGACAGUGGAUGCUUAAAGCAUGUCACACCUCCUUUUUUACACCCCGAAUGGAAUAUAAGUGAGUUUUUUCAGUUAAAGUGACAUUAUUCGAAAUUGGAUUAUUUAUUUGAUUUCAGAGUCACCACUUAGGAUAUUUAUGGUGUCCCAAGUUACCGAUUUAUUUUUAAAUCCCAAACGAGGAAAUUUUCGACUUUUGUUUAAGGUCUGCGAACCAAAAAUUCUAGAUAAGGAAUUCUGUUAACUCGGGAGAAGGCGUUAGGCAUUCUCGGGUUCCGUGGUUCUAGCACGGUCACUUAACAAUUUAUACUUGACUUAAUUAUUAUAUUACUCAUUUUUAAGUCCUAUGUGCAAUUAUCUUUUUACCACUUUUAAUCACAUGAUUUAUUCAUAAUUAAAGAAUUGAGUUACGCUUACGUAUACUCUUUUCUUUUGGCGCGUCAAAACCAUAUCAUGCGAAUAUGUCCACGAUUAAUAACGUUUUUAUUGAUUUAUUAAGAAAAUUUGGUUGAAGUUGCGUGUACGCAUCCCUCGAAUCUUUUUAGAGUUAAAUUUGUAAUUAUGUUACGCGAACAUAUAUAUAAUCACAAUACUAGUCUAAAUCGAUCAUAAAGCAAAUUACGAGUUCAACGCAAUUUUUAUACUAAUAUUUUAUUUAUGUGAGGGCCUAUGGGUCAGUUGUGGAAAAGAAAAUGGCUAGCAACAUGGUCAUUACUUGGAGCCUUAACGAAAUUAAAAAUGGCCAUCGAUAAAUAUGUUGGAGGCCUCUAUAAUCCAUAUAAAGUCUUACAUCCAAUAUGGCCCAACCUUCCAUUAAAUUACUAAUAACUAGUACUUGAAAAUAGAUUAAAAUCCUAGGCCUGAACAGAUAGAUAUCGAUAGAACAAAAUGGUCUCAAAAUGAAGAUUAAAUGGAAUCAAGGCGUGAUGAAAAUGAACAACCAUUAAUUCUUGUAGAAACCGGUUAUACAUUAAUUUCACAUAUCAUUGUCUCCAUAAGACAAAUUUAUCAUAAAGAAAAUAAUUCACAUAUACCGUAACAUGAAAAGUAACAAAUUAAUAUAAAUUUAUCCAUGAGAUUAACCAUACGAACUACCAAAAAGGGACAACGGACCAAUCUUAAAACAUACUCAGCAGGAGAACAAAUCAAUCUUAGCAUACUAGUCCAUUUUAUAAUCCAGCCCAUUAUUAAUAAUACCCAGGUCCAAACUACCAAUAAAGCUCUUAAGCUUAAAAAAAAGGAGGGGCAACUACUGAAGCAAGUUCAAUGCUAAUACAGUAGGCAAAGAAAUGAAGAAUAACAAAGUAUUUUUGCAAAAAUAAGAAUCAAUGCACCACAAUAAAAUCAAGGUGCAUUCAUAGUUUGUCUAAAAAAAUCGAUAUGAGUAAAACAUAAAUUUUAUAUCUUCAACACAAAACAAAAUAGAAAGUAAGGUCAAGAAAUGGACCUUCAAUGUUUAUUUGCUGAAAGAGAUCUACAGCAGUUGAAAAUGAGCAUAACAACAAUGAUUUCAUAGUAUAGUGAUAGGAAAUCACAAGCGACAGAAGCCGAAGGAACCUCAGUUGCGACAUGUACGUCUUUGUGUCGUUUUUGGAACUUGUGGCGUCGUUUUGGAAAUAGAAGUGAGGGUCAUUUCUGGUUGGGUUUAGUACUGGUUUCAAGAUGGUCUUACAGCUGUUUGUUGGAGGAAAAGUAGCUGGUAGGAGAUGGUAUAGUUACGACGGAGACAGCGCUAUUUUUAGGAUGUUUCGAAACUAUUUUCGGAGCUGUUUGGUGGAGUUUUUCAGCUCAUUUUUGGGUUGUUUUUACUGCUUUUUGGCCUAAUGUGCACUUAGUUUAAUGGAGGAUUCAGGGUAUUUAAUGGUGUUUGAGAUGAUGGAGAAGAUGGCUGGUUUUUGAUGGAUUAUCGUGGCUGAUUUAAGAGGUGUUUAAGGAUGGAACUUUCGUUGGUUUUGAAAACUUCAUGUAGUGGUGUUAAUGGAGGUUUGGGGUGGAUUUUAAUUGGGAAAGAUAAGCUCUCAUGGCCCUUUCAUGGUGGAUCUAAAGCUCUAGACCUAGGAUUUUUAUUAGGAAGAAGGUCCUCUUUUCGUUGGCUCCUCCAGAAGAAGAAGAUGAACUGUAGCUCUUAUUUUUCGUUCUCUGUUUCUUUUUGUUCUCUUUUUUCGUCUGUUUCCCGUCCUCCUUUUGCUUUGGCCUGUGUGUAGUUUAGAUGGGUGUGUGAAUAUAGUAUCCAAAAUAUGAGCAAAUGAGUGGAUAUUUCUUGGGAGGAAUCUUUCUCUCUUUCCAAUGCACGCCAAAAAGAAAAAUCUUGGGUGUAAGUACGCAAAAAUUGGAUAAACAUUGGAAAAAAU
This 6779-nucleotide long non-coding RNA is filed under the name Nicotiana benthamiana. Its description in RNAcentral is "long non-coding RNA (NBEN_LNC008616)". The record is from RNAcentral. Lineage: Eukaryota; Viridiplantae; Streptophyta; Magnoliopsida; Solanales; Solanaceae.